GAAUAGCUUCGACAGGCGGCGUUUCUGCAACGGUCGCAGGCCCUGGGUGGCUGGAGCCAGGAUAAAAACCGGCUAAACAACAAAUGCCAACUCACAGUUGGCCUGGGCCACUGCCUAACACGCAGUGAGCACACGUCGGUCCCCGACACCUGCUAGGGGGCAGCCGGCGUCAUCAGCAGGCUGGAGGUCCUCCCGCUGGCACCGUCGGAGGGGGCCUCGAGACAAGAACGGGGCUAGUCCGGGAGUACCAGUCCGCAGGUUUCCCCCGGAUGAAGCUCAAGGCGGACUAAGCCUGUAGUGACCUUGCCGGGCGUCGUUUGGACGCGGGUGCGAAUCCCGCCACCUCCACCA
RNAcentral lists this transfer-messenger RNA (351 nucleotides) under Elusimicrobia bacterium RIFOXYA2_FULL_69_6. It matches the Rfam family "transfer-messenger RNA". From Rfam's summary of the family: Bacterial tmRNA, also known as 10Sa RNA or SsrA, is named for its dual tRNA and mRNA-like properties. Its role is to liberate the mRNA from a stalled ribosome. The record is from RNAcentral. Lineage: Bacteria; Pseudomonadati; Elusimicrobiota.